This 164-nucleotide ribosomal RNA is filed under the name uncultured bacterium. Its description in RNAcentral is "partial 16S rRNA". It matches the Rfam family "Bacterial small subunit ribosomal RNA", at positions 355 to 511 of the family's 1533-position model. The record is from RNAcentral.
UAGGGAAUCUUCCACAAUGGGCGCAAGCCUGAUGGAGCAACGCCGCGUGAGUGAAGAAGGUCUUCGGAUCGUAAAACUCUGUUGUUUGAGAAGAACACGAGUGAGAGUAACUGUUCAUUCGAUGACGGUAUCUAACCAGCAAGUCACGGCUAACUACGUGCCAG